RNAcentral lists this small RNA (659 nucleotides) under Pan troglodytes (chimpanzee). RNAcentral's name for it is "processed transcript". Lineage: Eukaryota; Metazoa; Chordata; Mammalia; Primates; Hominidae. The record is from RNAcentral.
CGCGUCUUUGCCAUUCGGAUCGCGGGGAAAGCAGUGGCUCCAAGUGAGCCAGAGGAGAGCUGAGGAGAGGAGGGGGAGGCCGACGACCUGGGCCCUGGGCCUCUGAAGGAUCCAGGUUGAUGUCAAAGUCUUCUGUCUGUGCGGUAGGUCUGGCGUAUUCUGACAGGACACAGUGAGCGUCUGUAGAGGAGAGGCUUGAAAUAAAGGAGCACGAAUAUUGCCUGGAUUUCUGGAGGCCUACUUUAAGGCUGGCCAAUUCUGCAAGAAAGGCAAGGAGGAGGAGACUGGCUCACAGCUCUGGAGGACCCCCUUCUGUCAGCUGUGGGGCUUGACACCACUUGAACAAGAGAAGGAGGGGGAAACUGCACCACAUCAGUGAAGAUCCACCUCCAGUGGCUGCUUUGCUGGUGGUGGAGUUGCUGCUGACAACCACCCUCAACGGGUCUGCACCCAUCCAGGAAAUAUCUGUCUUCCUUUAGCUUGGUUGUACCUGUUCUCGCUCUAUCUGUAUUAUUGAAUUAUUGACUGAGACUGUGUUUGGGAAGGAGGCUGAGUGACUACUGGACUGGAUAUUGACUCUAACUCUUAUUCCCAAGCUUAUAUCCUUAAUCACCUAAAGAUCAGAGUGUGAAGAAACAAACCUGUGACAGAUCUGUGGU